UUAAAAGGAAACUGAGGGAGAAUACCUUGCAGGUAUGACCUCUAGGGCAAGUAUGUAGGGAGGGCAAAGAAAGUGCUUAAUGAGGAUGCUCCCAGGCUCUAAAUGAUGGGGAACCGUAAAGGCUAGUGAGGAGGGCAGGGUCAUGCAUCUUUACAUCUCCUGCCAUUUUUAGGGGAAAUGAUGAAAUGAGACUUUCAUCCUUGAUGGAAACAGGCCUUCUUGUGGGAUAAGUAUUGAAUUUAGUUCAGGACAGUGUCCUAAGGCUGGGUUCUUUGGUUGGCAACAGAUUAUACAACCAGGUGACUUUGAGGUUCACCUACAAUAGAAAAAAACCUCUCCAGACUUUUGGGUUGGGAGGUUUUAGAUCCAAUCCUUGGCAUCUGGUGGUGGCAGUGGUGGUGGGGGUAAUUGACACCCUUUGGCCUUACAUGCUGUUGUCCUUUAUAUGCUUAUUUUUGUGCCCUCUGGGCCAUUAUGUCCAAGUAGGAGUUGGGGUAUUAAGCUGUGGCCUGCGAGUGGAACAAAGCUGAAGGGCUCACAGGAACAAUGAGCGGUGUUUCACAGUAACCAGGAUGGGUGGUGCUAAAAGGCUUUUCGUGCUAUUUCCAUGUGUCUCGAAGGGGUGUGUGGAAUUUGGGGACAUUUUGGUGUUUUAUUAAGAGGGGAAGACAGAAUUUUAAAAUCUCUGUAGCUGUAACUCUGGGCAUGCUAGUUAGUUAUCUUUUUUUUUUUUUUUUUUUUUUUUUAGCUAGUUAUCCUUUGGAACCUCUUCUUGAGAUUCAGGCUUCACCUCCAGUGGGGUGGGUGUAAGGAUCCAGGGAUCCAGGAUCCACUAUGGCAAUGCACAUGACAGAACUGUUUGACACAACUAUAGAGCAACUGUACAACAUCUUCACCACAAAAGAUGUAAGUAACUUCUCAAGCUAGGAUCUUCAGUGCUGACAUGAAGAGAAAAUGUGCCACUAAGAACUAGGGCUGGUUUUUAGUUUCCCAUAUGGCCGCCAUCUUACAAUUUAAUUGAAGGGAUCUAGAAUGGUAGUGAUAGAAGUCUUUAACUCCUAAAAAAUUUAAGAGGGUAAAAGAUGGGCACUUGAGGGAAAUAUAUCCACAUUUAGGGGACCCAUUACUGAGUUUUCUCCUGCUGAAAGAGAGGGAGAGAAAGCUUGUAAGUAAAGGCUUCAGAUUCAGGAUUAAAAAACACAAAACCCAAAUCACAGAAAUUAAUAUUUUGCAUUUAGGUUAAAAAGGUUUAAGACAGGCUGGACUAACAUGUCUGCUGUUUGUUUUGCUUGUUUAGUUGGUGCAACAAUUUUCUAUAUCUCCUGCGGUAUUAGAAGCUGAGAAGGGGGGGAAAUUCCAAAUAUUUGAUGGGAACAUCACUGGUGAAUAUAUAGAAUCGGUAAGUAAUCUUUAGGGUUAAAGUAAGCUGGGACUGACUCUUCUGUUAAUACUGCUUUAUUUUUAUCUUUUUAUUUAAAUAAUUUCUACAUACUCAGUGUGGGUCUUGAAUUCAUGACCUCAAGAGCAAGAGUCCCAUGCUCUUCCAACUGAGCCAGCCAGGCACCCAAAUAUUGCUUUUUAAAAAUCCAUGCUCUUUUUAUCUUGCUUUCGGUUUUUAUCUGGGCUCACGGAAACUUGAGAAUUUUAUAAAAUUGGUUAUAGUAAAAAGUUAUAUAUACUUGGUUGUA
Molecule: long non-coding RNA, 1688 nt
Filed under: Canis lupus familiaris (dog)
Lineage: Eukaryota; Metazoa; Chordata; Mammalia; Carnivora; Canidae
Description: lncRNA (ENSCAFG00845013434.1)
Source: RNAcentral